Molecule: transfer RNA, 75 nt
Filed under: Anaplasmataceae bacterium
Lineage: Bacteria; Pseudomonadati; Pseudomonadota; Alphaproteobacteria; Rickettsiales; Anaplasmataceae
Description: tRNA-Cys
Rfam family: tRNA
About the family: Transfer RNA (tRNA) molecules are approximately 80 nucleotides in length. Their secondary structure includes four short double-helical elements and three loops (D, anti-codon, and T loops).
Source: RNAcentral
GGCGCGGUAGCCAAGUGGUAAGGUCGGGGUCUGCAAAACCCCUAUACGCGGGUUCGAUUCCCGCCCGCGCCUCCA